RNAcentral lists this transfer RNA (67 nucleotides) under Pseudorhodobacter ferrugineus. It matches the Rfam family "tRNA". From Rfam's summary of the family: Transfer RNA (tRNA) molecules are approximately 80 nucleotides in length. Their secondary structure includes four short double-helical elements and three loops (D, anti-codon, and T loops). Lineage: Bacteria; Pseudomonadati; Pseudomonadota; Alphaproteobacteria; Rhodobacterales; Paracoccaceae. The record is from RNAcentral. RNAcentral also lists the same sequence under 27 other names.
CGGGUGUAGCUCAAUGGUAGAGCAGCAGCUUCCCAAGCUGAAUACGAGGGUUCGAUUCCCUUCACCC